Benincasa hispida (wax gourd) is the source of this 953-nucleotide long non-coding RNA. RefSeq lists it as uncharacterized. The record is from RefSeq and is a predicted model, not a curated record. NCBI's taxonomy places the organism in Eukaryota, Viridiplantae, Streptophyta, Magnoliopsida, Cucurbitales, Cucurbitaceae.
CAUUUACUAUUUAUCACGAUAAUUAUUAUUUGUCACUCGUCAUCUAUAAUAACCAUCCCUCAAACACCCCCGAAGAGACCAACCUGCAAAUUGAAGUCUAAUUGUUUAUGCGGAGAAAAAUGUGAUCCAUUUACAAGAUAGAUGAAGAAGCAAAAGGAUCAACUUUAAAGGGAAUUUUGUUUGGGAACAUGAAUUCUUAUAAGCACUUAAAAAAAAAAAGGAAAGAAAGAAAGAAAGAGCAUCAGAAUCAGAAAAAGAAGGAAGAAAACAGGAAGUGAAUGAUAUCAUCCGCCAUUGCCACCGCCCAAGUUAGGUAGAAAAGGUACUCUGUAAUGAAGGCAAUUCAAUUCCUUCUCUCAUUUUCCCCCCUUUGGCGUUGUUUCGUUGCGGUGGUAUAAUCCGGAAGCGCAAGGCAAGAAGUAGCUGUGUUUGGAGACACUGUUGCUCAAACAUGUGUCACAAUAAACUGCACCUACUACCGUGAUUCGAGUGACCGACGUUGGGGCUGCAGCUGUUAGGCCAAACAAGUUAGUGAAGAAAGAUGUUAAAAAAAGGAGAAGGAGAGAAAUGGUGGGAUCCGGAUCCAUAAGAAACACUCAAUGAAGAAGAGGAAGUUGUGAGAGAAGCAUCAAUGGGGGCUUGUAUUUAUACUCUUCUACAGGAGAACAAGUUAUAGAACCUUGAACUUUCUUGUCUAUCUGUGCAUUGAUUUGUGAUUUGAAGAAUAUAAGCUUGCAUCCUGGGCAGAGUUUAGGCCGUUUAAAGUCUAUAGUUAAUAUAUUAGAGUUGAAAAGUCUAUGGUUGGGAUGCAGAGUUGUAAAAUGAAGUUAUUCGAUAAAUGUGCAAAACAGAGAAAGAAGAGAGGAUGGAGUUUUUGGAUAAAUGUACAAACUUAAAUAGUAUUUACUAUUGAAGUUGAGUUUAAUCUGAACUUAUGAAGUUGGUGAGCCAAA